This 597-nucleotide ribosomal RNA is filed under the name uncultured bacterium. RNAcentral describes it as "bacterial SSU rRNA". It matches the Rfam family "Bacterial small subunit ribosomal RNA", at positions 61 to 653 of the family's 1533-position model. The record is from RNAcentral.
GUCGAGCGGUAGAGAGGUGCUUGCACCUCUUGAGAGCGGCGGACGGGUGAGUAAAGCCUAGGAAUCUGCCUGGUAGUGGGGGAUAACGCUCGGAAACGGACGCUAAUACCGCAUACGUCCUACGGGAGAAAGCAGGGGACCUUCGGGCCUUGCGCUAUCAGAUGAGCCUAGGUCGGAUUAGCUAGUUGGUGAGGUAAUGGCUCACCAAGGCGACGAUCCGUAACUGGUCUGAGAGGAUGACCAGUCACACUGGAACUGAGACACGGUCCAGACUCCUACGGGAGGCAGCAGUGGGGAAUAUUGGACAAUGGGCGAAAGCCUGAUCCAGCCAUGCCGCGUGUGUGAAGAAGGUCUUCGGAUUGUAAAGCACUUUAAGUUGGGAGGAAGGGCAUUAACCUAAUACGUUAGUGUUUUGACGUUACCGACAGAAUAAGCACCGGCUAACUCUGUGCCAGCAGCCGCGGUAAUACAGAGGGUGCAAGCGUUAAUCGGAAUUACUGGGCGUAAAGCGCGCGUAGGUGGUUCGUUAAGUUGGAUGUGAAAUCCCCGGGCUCAACCUGGGAACUGCAUUCAAAACUGUCGAGCUAGAGCAUGGUA